This 465-nucleotide ribosomal RNA is filed under the name uncultured bacterium. RNAcentral describes it as "bacterial SSU rRNA". It matches the Rfam family "Bacterial small subunit ribosomal RNA", at positions 29 to 507 of the family's 1533-position model. The record is from RNAcentral.
AUUGAACGCUGGCGGCAGGCUUAACACAUGCAAGUCGUACGGUAACAGAGGGAAGCUUGCUUCUCUGCUGACGAGUGGCGGACGGGUGAGUAAUGUCUGGGAAGCUGCCUGCUUGAGGGGGAUAGCGGAGCGAAAGUUCCGAUAAUACCGCGUAAGCCCGAGAGGGGAAAGUGCGGGACCGCAAGGCCGCACGUGAGCAGAUGCGCCCAGAUGGGAUUAGGCAGUUGGGAGGUAAUGGCUCACCAAACCGAUGAUCUCUAGCUGGUUUGAGAGGACAAUCAGCCACAUUGGAAUUGAGAAACGGACCAAACUCCUACGGGAGGCAGCAGGUGGGGAAUAUUGCACAAUGGGGGAAACCCUGAUGCAGCAACGCCGCGUGAGUGAUGACGGCCUUCGGGUUGUAAAGCUCUGUCUUCAGGGACGAUAAUGACGGUACCUGAGGAGGAAGCCACGGCUAACUACGUG